Molecule: long non-coding RNA, 1763 nt
Organism: Canis lupus familiaris (dog)
Lineage: Eukaryota; Metazoa; Chordata; Mammalia; Carnivora; Canidae
Exons: 3
Source: RefSeq, a predicted model, not a curated record
UACUUUGGAUUUCCUGCUCCUGGAUCCUUUGUGUUUCUCUUUCUUGGUUUCUUUUGAUCUUGGAGAAGCCCCUGCUCUAAUAGUCUCAUGGAAAAGAUUGUUCUUAAGAUAUUCCCUUUGUCUUCCAUUUUCCAAAAUGUCGUGAUAAUAUGCCUUUGUAUGGAUCCAUUUUCAUUCAGUAUCAAGGCCUUGGAGGACUCUUUCAAUCUAGAAAUGCUUGUCCUUCCAUUCUGAGAAUUUUUAAAAAUUAUUUCCUCCCUUUUCAUCCCCCUCUUUCUGUCUCAGCUCCAGAAUUGAUCCUCCAUUUUUAAAAAAACUUUCUCUUUUAUUUUCCAUGUCUUUUUCUUUUGCUUGGUUUUCUAGGAGGUUUCCUCAAUUUCAUCUUACAAACCUUGUAUUGAGUUUUUAAGAUCUGCUAUCAUACUUUAAUUGGCAAAAGUUCUUUUGGAUUUUCCUUUUUAUUGCAUCUUAUCUUGUUCCAUGGAUGGAAUGGUUUCUUUUUUACCUUUGAGAUUAUUAAUGAUAGUUUGAGGGAAUAUUUUUCUUCUCACUGCAUAGUCUCUUGUCCUCUGAGUUUUUUGUUCCUGUUUUCUUGUUUUGGCAAAUCUGUUUCUGCAGAUAACUGAUGACCCUUGGCUGUCUAUUCAUGUAUCUAGUAAGGCACCAAAAAGACAAUCAGAGGCUCUGAGCAUGUGAUAGGGCACAUUCGAAGCAAGCAGAUCUUUGUGUUCCUGACUAGACUGUUUCUUUGUGUCAUUCCAAUACUAUAUCAUAAUUUUUUUUUUCUGUAGGCUGUCAGAAUCUGCAAAGAAGCUUCUCUCAGUCUCCUGCUUGAAUAUUUCAGCCUGGCUGCCAGCAUUUUAGAAGCUGAAAGAAGAGAAGAGACUGAGGAAUGGAGAAAAUAUUCAACUUAUCCUGGACAUUAGAUUAGAUUUACGUCAGGGUACAUUGAGAUAGAUUUACUAUAAGGAAUUGGCUCACAUGAUUAUGGAGGCUGAAUAGUCAAGAUCUACAAAAGUCAAGACCUGCAGUAAAGAAACUAGAGACCCAGGAGAGCUGAUGGUAUACUUCCAGAGUCCAAAGAAGGGAAGACCCAUGUCCCAGCUUGAAGACAGUCAGGAAAAAAAAAAAGACUUCUUUCUUACUCAGCCUUCUAUUCUAUUCAGGCUUUCAGCAGAUUGGAUGGAGGCCCACCCACACUGGAGAGAGCAUUCUUUCUUACUCAGUGUACUGAGUCGAAUGUUAAUCUCACUCAAAAAAAUCUUCACAGAGACAUCCAGAAUAAUGUUUAACCAUAUAUCUGGGUGCCCUGUGACCCAACCAAGUUGACACAAAAUUAGCUAUCACAGUAGGUAAUAAAUUUAGAAAAUUUGUUUCUCUAAGAUAAACUAUGGGAAAAGAAAUAGACAUGGUUUUUUUAAUACAUGGUGUAAAUACUUUAUUUGUUGCAUUGAUGUAUCUGUUGAAUAUUGUGUGUUUUUUACAUACAUUUUUAAAUGGUUUGGAAAAAUUCAUUGGCAAAAGCAUAAAUAUCUCUUCAGAGCAUGUGGGAUGAGGUUGGGGGGCUGAGGGUAAUCCUGAUUUCUUCCCGUCAUUUUGAGUGCUGUCAAAAUAGUAUUUUCAACUCCAAUGAUUUUCAUUUUACCCUCUAAUACACUAAAACAAAUAAUAUAAUUUCAACUUAGAGCCUCCAAGUCCAGGUUCCUUACAUUCCUCAUUUUCAAAUCAAUUUAAUUAAAUUUGUCUUUCCUAUUGGUCUAACA